AGCGAACGCUGGCGGCGUGCUUAACACAUGCAAGUCGAGUGCGCGGUUCGUAGCAAUACGAACUGGCGCACGGCGCACGGGUGAGGAACACGUGGGCAACAUGCCCUCCGAUGGGGAAUAACCCGCCGAAAGGCGGGCUAAUACCGCAUACGAUUCCGGGGACCUCGGUUCCUGGACUGAAAGCCCGCAAGGGCGUCGGUGGAGUGGCCCGCGGCCGAUUAGCUUGUUGGCGGGGAACGGCCACCAAGGCAAUGAUCGGUAGCCGUCUGAGAGGAUGAUCGGCCACAC
This 288-nucleotide ribosomal RNA is filed under the name uncultured bacterium. RNAcentral describes it as "partial 16S ribosomal RNA". It matches the Rfam family "Bacterial small subunit ribosomal RNA", at positions 28 to 313 of the family's 1533-position model. The record is from RNAcentral.